AGAACCGUGAAGGUCCCGGCGACCGAAGAAAGGCGAAACCGCUCCGCGUGGGCUGUCCGGAGUGGCAUCGCGCCUUGUUCGAGUCCGAAGAGGUUCCCGCUUCUCUAAGCCGGCUGAAGGGAUGCGAGUCUCCUUCUCUUGUCCCACCGGGAGUGCGUCCUGACACCGAGUGGACUCCGCCCCAAGAGUGGGAGCAUCCUGAACGUUCAGAGGGCAUCCUGGGCCGUGGAAGGCAUUCGGCCACACCCCGCUCUUCGCCGGUCCCUCACCCGCCAACGCCAGCCCAGGUGGUCAGGCUCAGAAUGGACUGUGAGCCUGUGUGUUAUGGAUCUCUGGUUGUAGAGACAGAAGGACAAACAUGGAAGCCACCAAGGAUGCUGCCAGCUGAAUGAGUUGUUGCUCUAUGGCUUGCACAAAGUCAAGUGAAUGAUCUUCCCACGUUAUGUAAUAUAUCAACGGACUGCUUACCUUAACCCCUUUAAUCUUGAUUAUUCUGGAAAGUAGAACUUGAAACAAAAAGUAGAUACAUUCUACAGGGAAUAUGACCCUCAGAGAAGGAAAGAAAGACAGAGGGGUUAAACCUGAACACGUGAAAGAGAAUCCAAGGGAAUCUGCUUGGUACUGCCACGUCAGAGAAGCCUCAGGUAAGGAGACUGGAUGCUUGGCAUCGUGGAUGCUUGAAGCACUGCUAACAAAGAACAGAGUCCAGUCUUCCAGAGUCAUGACCUGAAUCCAAAGUUGAAAAGAUCUGAGCAGUGUAUAAACAGCCUGUCAUAACCUGCAUAAUACAUUUUUAGUCCUGAAUAAAUCUAUUCACACUUCUUUCU
Molecule: long non-coding RNA, 827 nt
Filed under: Mus pahari (shrew mouse)
Lineage: Eukaryota; Metazoa; Chordata; Mammalia; Rodentia; Muridae
Description: lncRNA (MGP_PahariEiJ_G0004414.1)
Source: RNAcentral